Long non-coding RNA from Hibiscus syriacus, 164 nucleotides. RefSeq lists it as uncharacterized. NCBI's taxonomy places the organism in Eukaryota, Viridiplantae, Streptophyta, Magnoliopsida, Malvales, Malvaceae. The transcript is spliced from 3 exons. The record is from RefSeq and is a predicted model, not a curated record.
GAUUAAGGAGAUAACUCACAGCAUCUUCCAUAGUCGAACGCCAUCCUUGCAUGGAUGACAAUCCAUACCGAAGCCUGUCAUUCUCACCAUCGUCUGAAAACUUUUCAGUUUUUGGCGUACUAAGGUAUACUCCCAUUUCCUUGGCUGAUUUUUUAGAAGAGAGA